This 497-nucleotide ribosomal RNA is filed under the name Escherichia coli. RNAcentral's name for it is "bacterial SSU rRNA". It matches the Rfam family "Bacterial small subunit ribosomal RNA", at positions 1048 to 1533 of the family's 1533-position model. The record is from RNAcentral. Lineage: Bacteria; Pseudomonadati; Pseudomonadota; Gammaproteobacteria; Enterobacterales; Enterobacteriaceae. RNAcentral also lists the same sequence under 16 other names.
GCUGUCGUCAGCUCGUGUUGUGAAAUGUUGGGUUAAGUCCCGCAACGAGCGCAACCCUUAUCCUUUGUUGCCAGCGGUCCGGCCGGGAACUCAAAGGAGACUGCCAGUGAUAAACUGGAGGAAGGUGGGGAUGACGUCAAGUCAUCAUGGCCCUUACGACCAGGGCUACACACGUGCUACAAUGGCGCAUACAAAGAGAAGCGACCUCGCGAGAGCAAGCGGACCUCAUAAAGUGCGUCGUAGUCCGGAUUGGAGUCUGCAACUCGACUCCAUGAAGUCGGAAUCGCUAGUAAUCGUGGAUCAGAAUGCCACGGUGAAUACGUUCCCGGGCCUUGUACACACCGCCCGUCACACCAUGGGAGUGGGUUGCAAAAGAAGUAGGUAGCUUAACCUUCGGGAGGGCGCUUACCACUUUGUGAUUCAUGACUGGGGUGAAGUCGUAACAAGGUAACCGUAGGGGAACCUGCGGUUGGAUCACCUCCUUACCUUAAAGAAGC